RNAcentral lists this long non-coding RNA (3349 nucleotides) under Olea europaea (common olive). RNAcentral's name for it is "long non-coding RNA (OEUR_LNC015475)". Lineage: Eukaryota; Viridiplantae; Streptophyta; Magnoliopsida; Lamiales; Oleaceae. The record is from RNAcentral.
UUCUUCAUACAAUAACAAUCCCUAUCUUUCUUCUUCUUAGACAAGUAGGCUGAGCCUCAAAUACUGCAAUCAACAACGCUAAAAAUGCCUAAGAUUCAACACCCCUCAAAGUAGUAUUGGAGCUGCCAUUUCGAACAUCCAGCUUAUAGCCAGCACCAUAGGUGGCAUCAACAACACCAGUCAGUGCCUGGCACGCCAUUGCCAUUCCCUUCUACUCUAUCCACUUUAUGGGGAUGGUGGUUUCCUUUCACUCCUCUAAAACCAGGAGGUCCACAUGCAGUUUGAACAUGCUUUAGAUUUGGAUCUUUCCGAGGUCGGCCAAGUCCCUACUUCACUGGUAGGACUGAAGGAGGCACCAACAUUGUCGCCUUGGAUAACUUGAUUCACUUUCAGAAAUUACCAUUUACAAUAUUGAAGCAAUUCUUUUGGUAGAAACUGGUUUUAGGCACGUGUAAGUAAUGUGCAAGGCACGUGUUGUAACUGUAGUGAAGCAUUCAAUAGUAUUGAUAUUGUGAGUGAUUUGUGUAUGAUAUUAAUAUUUGUAAAAUCUUACUAAAAGAAAAUUUGGGAAUUUAGUAGAAUGAAUUGUAUAGGCUUCAUAGCUAUAAAUACGGGAGGGUAGGUCCAUUUUUUCAGGCACAAAUUAGUGAGAAAAUGGGAGGGAGAGGCACCCUCUGGGAAACUGACCAAACAUAUACACAAAACCACAAAAAUACAGCAAUUGCAAUCUGAUUAUUAUCAGAUAAUUAAAGCCUUUACCUUUGAAGAGUGUAUAAGAGAUCACGUAGAGAUUAUUAUACACAACAAAGCUUGAUUAGAGUGAGAGUAAUUUUAAGAAGGUACAGGGAAAGAGUGAGAACUAAUGGCAAGAGUUUCCAGAGGAUAGAAGGGCAUUAAAGAUAUUUUCACAAUUAUGAAUAAAGUUAACGAUGCAAUUGCUACAUGUCAAACUUUGAGUGAUUAAGUGACGAGGGCGUAAACAAACUAAUGAUAUUUUCUCAAUUAUGAGCAAAGUUAAGGAUGCUACUGCUAUAUGACAAAAUAUCUGUGGUAAAGUGACCAGAAAGUUAACAGGAAUUAAACUAAGAAUAUGAUAUCACUUUUUUUCUCAAUUAUGGGCGAAGUUAAUGGCGCUCUAUCUUCUUCUUAGAUAAAUAGGCGAAGACUCAAAUGCUGAAAUCACCAAUGCUAAAAAAGCCUAAAUAUCAAUCAACAUGCAGCAAAAAAUUCUAACUAAAAAUGCCAAAAUUUUUCAUCAACAUUUGAUGAUCUCCCCAGAAACUGCACCAAGAAAUGGUAGUAUAUCUUAUUAACAGGAAAAAGGAAUACCUCACAAGAACAAAGCACUGAUUUUUUACAAUAUUGAAGAAAUUCUUUUAGUAGAAAAAAGCAAUAAAAUAAACAUGUGAAAAGGAUAAAAUUGCAUAUAAGAUGAAGCUGAAGAGAAAUUAAUAACCAAUUAAAAAUGAGAGGUGAGAAUUAUUUCAAGACUUUACCUUGCGAAGAGUAUACUAGAUUGGACAGAAAUAUUAUUUUGAUAAAGCUUAAGUAGAGGGAGAGAGUAAAUUUAAGAAACUUGGAAUAGAGGGCUACAGAGUGUAGAUAGAUAGAGAGAGAGAGAGAGAGAGAGAGAGAGAGAGAGAGAGAGAGAGUUUCUGGAGGUUAGAAAGGAAUUAAUGAUAAUUUCUCAAUUAUGGCUGAAGUUAACGAUGCUAUUACUACGUGUCAAAAUUUCAAUGAUAAAGCAACCAGGCAGUGAACAUGAAUUAAUGCCAUUUACUCAACUGUGGGCAAAGCAAACAAUGCUAUUGCUACAUGUCAAAAUUUUCUCAUGAUUAAGUCGCCAAAAAUGUUAGUACCAAAUCCUGGAGUGCCCAGCACAUUGAGAUGCACAUGCCUUUGCUAGACAUCUCCACCAAUUCCAUAACUCUUGAUGCUUCUUUCUUUUCAUUUUUUCGAACAUUUUCAAGUUACUGGUGUAAAUUGUUUUCCAACUGGGAAAAUGCGAAAAAUAGAUGACAUCCACAAUUACUCAAAGACCUUUUGCUUUCGAUUAAUAUGCAAAAAAAAAAAAAAAAAAAAAAAAAAAAACUUCAUAUUCCUAAAAAUGUAAAUUUAUCUGUGUUACUAAAUAUGACACCAAAAACAAAUGAGUUAUCCAGUAGGCCCUUUGAGUAACGUUUCAAGUGGAAAAGAGCCACCAAUUUAGGCCCUUCUACUGCCCAUAGAACACUUGAAUAGAAUCCAAACUGUAACACAAAGCAUAUUAUACAAAAUUCAAUCCCAUCAUGGGUACAGUCUUACAUUCAGGACCAUAAAAUUCACCGGGGUCAAACAAACUAACGUUCAACGCGAACAAAAUGGAGCUUUUAAUGAAACAAGCACGGAGAAUACAUAAACCGAUACACAGACACAAUGAUAUAUGCAUAUGCACACAGGCACACUGUCACGCACAGAUAAGGGAGCUCUUUCUUGUACCUGACCAUCCCAUAAAGAAUGUAUUGGCCUUCUUCUGUCAUUAUGAUCCAGUAAUUUCUGCAGUUCAAUAAUGAAAUUAUGGUUAUUUAAACAUAUAUUUUCUGUCACUAGCUUUAGACCAACUAAAUGCUGAGUUUGCUCUAUCCUUUUCGAAUUUUUCAAAGCUAGCAGUUACUAAAAUUUUUCUAAAAUAUGUCAAAAAAAUAGGAAACCAUUUAGGGGAAACAGUUUAUAGAAAAAUUGCCUGCAUAAUGUUCUCAGUGUAUUUACCAGAACUGACAGAAUUGUGUGUGUGUGUGUGUGUGUGUGUGUAUUGUAUCAUUGAUUAUCUAACUUUCUCAAAUAUUUAUCAAACAACUUUCUGAAGGUAUCUAAUUGUGCAAAAUUCCCAAAGAAAAAUAGAGAAUAAUAAUUAGCAAUCAGGCACAGAAACACUAUUAUCAAUAAACUGAAGUUUUAAUUUUUAUACUCUCAUCAUUCUAUUUGAAAAUUCAAAAAACAUAAAGAAAAAUCCCAGAAUUUUGUAGGGCCCCCUUCCCUCCGCAUCCCACCCAUCAGGGCUCCAGCAGAUUAUAGCUCAACAAAAUAAUUCGCGGCAAAAAAAGUCAUUACUGACGUCGAAAAUAAGUGGGAAGUUAAAACACCAAUAUACAAUUGCGAAUGCUUCGAUUAUUACCAUUUUGAGUAGGCCAGCAACGCGGGUUCCUUUCAUCACAUGCCAUUCCACCAUGCUUUAGCACUCAAGUAUUGGCAAACAACAAUACAAAUACUGGAUUUGGGACUGAAUUAAUAGGUAAGAAUAGAAAAUUGUUUACCGUUUUAAUGAAUUCAAAUUGAAUAAAAUAAUGUUAUUUGUACUAGUUCAUUUUAG